GGCUGAAAUUCGCCUUCAUGAAGCCGGAAUUGCUAGUAAUGGCAGGUCAGCAUACUACCGUGAAUACGUUCCCGGGCCUUGUACACACCGCCCGUCACACCAUGAGAGUUGGGGAUACCCGAAGCCUGUGAGCUAACUUUAUAAGGAGCAGCAGUCGAAGGUAGAAUCAAUGAUUGGGGUGAAGUCGUAACAAGGUAGC
Molecule: ribosomal RNA, 199 nt
Filed under: uncultured bacterium
Lineage: Bacteria
Description: partial 16S ribosomal RNA
Rfam family: Bacterial small subunit ribosomal RNA
Source: RNAcentral